Molecule: ribosomal RNA, 42 nt
Filed under: Alternaria sp. MY-2011
Lineage: Eukaryota; Fungi; Ascomycota; Dothideomycetes; Pleosporales; Pleosporaceae
Description: partial 18S small subunit ribosomal RNA
Rfam family: Eukaryotic small subunit ribosomal RNA
Source: RNAcentral
GUAACAAGGUCUCCGUAGGUGAACCUGCGGAGGGAUCAUUAC